AAAAGUGAGAGAAAGGGAAACACAUGAUAGGAAAGACUAAAGAGACAGAGAGUUUAGCAUUUUAUUUGCUAAAAUUGAUUAUCUGAAUGCAACUUUUUCUCAAGAUCCAAUUUCUUUAGAUAUCAGGGUGUCGGGUUUGAUUUUGAUGGAGGGUUUGUGAUUUUCUGAAGAUGAUGUAAUCAGUAAUCAUGUUACAAGUAGCUAGUCUACUAGAAGUAGAUUAUUGAAUUAAUCAAUUUGUCCCUACCAAGGAAUCUUUACAGGUGAUAUUUACACCACUCUUCGUCAAGGGCCGGCUGAGCGAGGGAGAAUUACUACGAAAACAUAUUUCACACCUCAGUCUAGUCAAAUAACUUAAAGAGAAGAAGAAUCAAUUAGUAGUGCUCCAUUUUCAUCUCCAUCAAAUGUUGUAAAUGAUGAAGUACCAGAUGUAACUUUGAACAUGAAGAAGUUGUAGAAAUGGAUACUCAAAAUGAUCUUGAGACGGGUAGAGGCAUUGCAUGAUGGUAUGCGCUGAAAGUAUCCUUGCCCGAAAAAUCAGUAUUGAUGGGGUAAUUGAUUUGUUUAUUUAUCUAAAAGAACGAAAAGUACGACUAGAGGAAUAAGUGAUGAUCUAAAUAUUAGUUAAUGGGUUUUGUUGGUAAAUCUGGUUUUGGUAUAUUUGAAUCAACCUGACUGCUACUACAUACAUAUUAUAUAUAUGAAAACAUUUUUGCACU
Papaver somniferum (opium poppy) is the source of this 719-nucleotide long non-coding RNA. RefSeq lists it as uncharacterized. The transcript has 3 exons. NCBI's taxonomy places the organism in Eukaryota, Viridiplantae, Streptophyta, Magnoliopsida, Ranunculales, Papaveraceae. The record is from RefSeq and is a predicted model, not a curated record.